ACUAUCCGUAAGCAUCCGCUCGAGCCCUGCAGGUCUGCACCACUGUGGCAAAACGGGCUGGCAGAUAAUAUUAGGUACAGUCUAGAUACAGCUGAGGACCCCACACACACACACACACACACACACACACACACACACACACACACACACACACACACACACACACACACACACACACACACACACACACACACACACACACACACACACACACACACACACACACACACAUUACUUUCUCAACAUUGGCUUAUGCACCACGGCUUGGUGCUUUCUAUCGCAGCCAUGCCCAGGCCACCACAACCCCCAGAGUAAAAAGAAGGGCCAUUGAACAGCGGAGGGAAGCCCCCUAAGUGUACUGUAGACCCCCGGUUCCAGUAGGCGGCACCCCGGCGUGUGUGAAGCACAGGUACAUGGCGCCGGUGUGUUCUGCUGAACACCAACAUAACAUCACGGAGGAGCCACAACUCAUAUGUGCCCGUCGGCACGUAUAGCGGGGAAUGUUUACCGUCUCUCCAGCCUGCCACCCUGGAAGCGCAAAAAAUAGACAAAGGAAAAGACGGCAGUUCGCACAAGGUUGACUGCGGUAUACACAGUGACAUUUAGAACGCAUGCCCCCCCCCCCUCCUCCAUUUUGUAGGGUUUUAGUUACAAGCUGGGCAAUAAAAGCAGGACCACCUGCCUUUGACUUUGCUCCUCAGCUGUAAACAAUUUCCUCCUCCUGUCAUAUCGGCGGUGGGGAUCAGCGGCUGAAUGUCAAGGUCGGGGCGAGACGGCCCCGCGCCGUUUCAACACACAAACGAGCGGAGGACUCACAACGCGAGCUGGCCAUUAAAUCACCGGCCCCAUUAGAUGUGUUUCUGCACUGUUUUUGUCUCCUAUUGCCCUGGGUGGUUUUUUGUUGUGGCAACGACCUCCCAUCUGCUGACUAACUGCUCUGUGGGAUACGUUGCCCUUAAGGAGUCUGUGUGUCUUUAUGUAUAGACAUGCACAUGCAUACACACAGGUCUGUGUGGGUCUUUUUCCCGUAGCUUUGGCAAGAAACAAUUCUUUAUUUAUAAGUGGUGCUAUAUUCUAAUAUAGUAGUAGGCUGCAACUUCUAGUUUCUGCAAUGCAUCACGCUGUCAGUGAAGAGAACAAGAAUUGUAAUGUUGAUGUGUUCCAGGCGCUUGUUUUCAUUGAUAUAUUAAAUUGACAAAUAGAUCUUCAGCUGUAUGACGCGUCGUCUGUUGCUCUUUAAAAAAGGCUCCCUCUAGUGGUGAUUUGAUGCUCUACAUUCAGUUGAGUUUUGGGCUGUUUCGGGGACGCUGCUGAGCCUGCAAUAAACUACUUUGUUAUUCAGUUUGCUGACGAUCAAAUCAUCUUUUAGAUAUGAAUUCAAAAACAUACUUUUUAAAAAAGAAUCAGGCAAGUUUGUUGUUCAUUGUUUUUUUCUUUUAAAACAUCACAUUAUAUGUAUUGAGCAGACCUUUAAAUCUCAUAUCCAAAAUAUGAGUUUGACCUUAUUGCUCAGACUCUGGAGUAAACAAAACUUUUUAUACAUUUGCUUUAUCUUAUCGCUCAGAUGAAGCAGGGAAUACAAACGCAACUCAAAGGCCACAAUAUCUUUUUCAUUUCCAUGAAAGUUUAAUCUAAUA
RNAcentral lists this long non-coding RNA (1637 nucleotides) under Gadus morhua (Atlantic cod). Its description in RNAcentral is "lncRNA (ENSGMOG00000030989.1)". The record is from RNAcentral. Lineage: Eukaryota; Metazoa; Chordata; Actinopteri; Gadiformes; Gadidae.